Molecule: ribosomal RNA, 429 nt
Filed under: Chloroflexota bacterium
Lineage: Bacteria; Bacillati; Chloroflexota
Description: Chloroflexi bacterium partial 16S ribosomal RNA
Rfam family: Bacterial small subunit ribosomal RNA
Source: RNAcentral
UGGGGAAUAUUGCACAAUGGGCGCAAGCCUGAUGCAGCCAUGCCGCGUGUAUGAAGAAGGCCUUCGGGUUGUAAAGCACUUUCAGCGGGGAGGAAGGCGUUAAGGUUAAUAACCUUGGCGAUUGACGUUACCCGCAGAAGAAGCACCGGCUAACUCCGUGCCAGCAGCCGCGGUAAUACGGAGGGUGCAAGCGUUAAUCGGAAUUACUGGGCGUAAAGCGCACGCAGGCGGUCUGUCAAGUCGGAUGUGAAAUCCCCGGGCUCAACCUGGGAACUGCAUUCGAAACUGGCAGGCUAGAGUCUUGUAGAGGGGGGUAGAAUUCCAGGUGUAGCGGUGAAAUGCGUAGAGAUCUGGGGGAAUACCGGUGGCGAAGGCGGCCCCCUGGACAAAGACUGACGCUCAGGUGCGAAAGCGUGGGGAGCAAACAGG